UAAUCGGCAACUAUUUUUAUAAUCGAUUUAAUCGAUUAGUUGUUGCAGCCCUAGUUGCAACUUGCCUGUGUAUGAAAAGUAAUAGUCAUAAAUAAAGUUUUUUGAUUGAUUCCUUGGUGCAUAUAUAAGUCAGCCAGGCCACAGGGGGGCAGUAAUGAGCCUUAUAAGCUGACGUUUUUUUGGCAGAGGUUGCACAACUCAGAAUUUGAGCCAAAAUCGCUAAAAGUCACAUAAAAACUCAGCAAAACUUGCAAGACUUCAAUUCAGCGAGCAUCAAAAGAUUCUUUGGCCUUAAGUUUGUUGGACGCUUACUUUAAAUGAAGAAGAAAGUAAGAAGAUCGGAGGAAGUCUACGCGAGAAAUGAAGUAAGUUGAUGAUUCAGCGGUUGUUUUUGUACUCAAAGUCACAUUGCAGUGUUUUCAUAUUUUUGCAGACGAGACCAAAGAUGGCCGCUAACGUUAAACCGCCUACUCGCCUACGCGGGCCGACAGACGGAAUGUUACCAAGGGAAAAAAGGAAGGCAGAAGUUUGUAAACACUGAAGGUGACAAACCCCAAAGUGAGGUAAUGAUGACUUGUAGAAGAUGAGCCGAAUGAGAAGAUUGGGCUUUCCUGCGCGAUCCUUCACGGACGUCCUCUUUCGCUUUCCUAGAAUGGCUGCCGGAGGCGGGAGCAGGAGGAUGACUCGUGCUGGGGGUGCUCUUUGCUCUGGUCCGACACGUCCAGACCGUCCGGCUUCUCCAACGGACGCUGGGGAUGCAAAGGUGCACAAGUGACGCGUUCAAGACACCUGCGAGGAUGGGACG
Molecule: long non-coding RNA, 805 nt
Organism: Entelurus aequoreus (snake pipefish)
Lineage: Eukaryota; Metazoa; Chordata; Actinopteri; Syngnathiformes; Syngnathidae
Exons: 4
Source: RefSeq, a predicted model, not a curated record